UAGGCAGUAAGUCAAUGGUAGAGCACCCGCUUCGUAUGCGGGAAGACCUGGGUUCGAUUCCCGGCAACUUAC
RNAcentral lists this transfer RNA (72 nucleotides) under Toxocara canis (dog roundworm). It matches the Rfam family "tRNA". Rfam says of the family: Transfer RNA (tRNA) molecules are approximately 80 nucleotides in length. Their secondary structure includes four short double-helical elements and three loops (D, anti-codon, and T loops). The record is from Rfam by way of RNAcentral. Lineage: Eukaryota; Metazoa; Nematoda; Chromadorea; Rhabditida; Toxocaridae.